AGUGAACGCUGGCGGUAGGCCUAACACAUGCAAGUCGAACGGCAGCACAGUAAGAGCUUGCUCUUACGGGUGGCGAGUGGCGGACGGGUGAGGAAUACAUCGGAAUCUACUUUUUCGUGGGGGAUAACGUAGGGAAACUUACGCUAAUACCGCAUACGACCUACGGGUGAAAGCGGGGGGUCUUCGGACCUUGCGCGAUUGAAUGAGCCGAUGUCGGAUUAGCUAGUUGGCGGGGUAAAGGCCCACCAAGGCGACGAUCCGUAGCUGGUCUGAGAGGAUGAUCAGCCACACUGGAACUGAGACACGGUCCAGACUCCUACGGGAGGCAGCAGUGGGGAAUAUUGGACAAUGGGCGCAAGCCUGAUCCAGCCAUACCGCGUGGGUGAAGAAGGCCUUCGGGUUGUAAAGCCCUUUUGUUGGGAAAGAAAAGCAGCAGGUUAAUACCCCGCUGUUCUGACGGUACCCAAAGAAUAAGCACCGGCUAACUUCGUG
This 492-nucleotide ribosomal RNA is filed under the name uncultured bacterium. RNAcentral describes it as "partial 16S ribosomal RNA". It matches the Rfam family "Bacterial small subunit ribosomal RNA", at positions 29 to 507 of the family's 1533-position model. The record is from RNAcentral.